ACGGGGGGUGCAAGCGUUGUCCGGAAUCAUUGGGCGUAAAGAGUUCGUAGGCGGCAUGUCAAGUCUGGUGUUAAAUCCUGAGGCUCAACUUCAGUUCAGCACUGGAUACUGGCAAGCUAGAAUGCGGUAGAGGUAAAGGGAAUUCCUGGUGUAGCGGUGAAAUGCGUAGAUAUCAGGAAGAACACCGGUGGCGUAAGCGCUUUACUGGGCCGUUAUUGACGCUGAGGAACGAAAGCCGGGGGAGCGAAUGGGAUUAGAUACCCCAGUAGUCCCGGCCGUAAACGAUGGAUACUAGGUGUUGUGGGUAUCGACCCCUACAGUGCCGUAGCUAACGCGAUAAGUAUCCCGCCUGGGGAGUACGGCCGCAAGGUUA
This 373-nucleotide ribosomal RNA is filed under the name uncultured bacterium. RNAcentral describes it as "bacterial SSU rRNA". It matches the Rfam family "Bacterial small subunit ribosomal RNA", at positions 525 to 896 of the family's 1533-position model. The record is from RNAcentral.